Molecule: long non-coding RNA, 611 nt
Filed under: Volvox carteri
Lineage: Eukaryota; Viridiplantae; Chlorophyta; Chlorophyceae; Chlamydomonadales; Volvocaceae
Description: long non-coding RNA (VCAR_LNC001301)
Source: RNAcentral
AGCCGGUACAGCCAGCAUGGCUGCUAUAUUCAUCCUCACUGUACUGGAACGUGCCUGCAUUUCUCCUUCCCAACUGAGGGCCCUGCUGCUGUUGGCCCUACAACCAGUCGCUUCCUACAAUCCGCAUGCGUGCUACGAAAGCAGCGAAUAAACACACAGGGCGUGGAUUGAGGAACUGGAAUGCCACAUACUGCAGGACAGGAGCACGCUGCAAACAAAGCUGCAUUAGCCAUGAUUAAAUCCAUAUACCGCAUUUCAUGGCUCAACAAUGCACGAAACCCUAACGUUUCGCAUUAUGAGCUACUAGCAAGGGUGGCCAGAGGAGCCGCUACACAGGGGGAACAUGCAGGGGUCCUUGCACACCAGCUUGCCCUGCACUGCCCCAGCUGGGAAACCUACAGAGUGCACAUUCACGUACAGCAGGCCCUGCUGCAGCGCAUCGAGGAAGCCCAUGCCGCUGUUGUUGGGGUCCCAAGCCGCCGCACGCGUAUAGGUGAGCGGCGCAGUGAAGCUGACGAUGCCGCGGAAGCUCAGAGGCGGGUUGAGCGGCAUGGGCCUGGUGCCGUUGAGUACGGGCAGCAGAUCCAGACGAAUGGGUUUGCCGGUGGCGU